CGGCCACAUUGGGACUGAGACACGGCCCAAACUCCUACGGGAGGCAGCAGUAGGGAAUCUUCCACAAUGGGCGAAAGCCUGAUGGAGCAACGCCGCGUGGGUGAAGAAGGUCUUCGGAUCGUAAAACCCUGUUGUUAGAGAAGAAAGUGCGUGAGAGUAACUGUUCACGUUUCGACGGUAUCUAACCAGAAAGCCACGGCUAACUACGUGCCAGCAGCCGCGGUAAUACGUAGGUGGCAAGCGUUAUCCGGAUUUAUUGGGCGUAAAGGGAACGCAGGCGGUCUUUUAAGUCUGAUGUGAAAGCCUUCGGCUUAACCGGAGUAGUGCAUUGGAAACUGGGAGACUUGAGUGCAGAAGAGGAGAGUGGAACUCCAUGUGUAGCGGUGAAAUGCGUAGAUAUAUGGAAGAACACCAGUGGCGAAAGCGGCUCUCUGGUCUGUAACUGACGCUGAGGUUCGAAAGCGUGGGUAGCAAACAGGAUUAGAUACCCUGGUAGUCCACGCCGUAAACGAUGAAUGCUAAGUGUUGGAGGGUUUCCGCCCUUCAGUGCU
RNAcentral lists this ribosomal RNA (551 nucleotides) under uncultured bacterium. RNAcentral's name for it is "bacterial SSU rRNA". It matches the Rfam family "Bacterial small subunit ribosomal RNA", at positions 305 to 847 of the family's 1533-position model. The record is from RNAcentral.